Molecule: ribosomal RNA, 849 nt
Filed under: Staphylococcus aureus
Lineage: Bacteria; Bacillati; Bacillota; Bacilli; Caryophanales; Staphylococcaceae
Description: bacterial SSU rRNA
Rfam family: Bacterial small subunit ribosomal RNA
Source: RNAcentral
UGCUUCUCUGAUGUUAGCGGCGGACGGGUGAGUAACACGUGGAUAACCUACCUAUAAGACUGGGAUAACUUCGGGAAACCGGAGCUAAUACCGGAUAAUAUUUUGAACCGCAUGGUUCAAAAGUGAAAGACGGUCUUGCUGUCACUUAUAGAUGGAUCCGCGCUGCAUUAGCUAGUUGGUAAGGUAACGGCUUACCAAGGCAACGAUGCAUAGCCGACCUGAGAGGGUGAUCGGCCACACUGGAACUGAGACACGGUCCAGACUCCUACGGGAGGCAGCAGUAGGGAAUCUUCCGCAAUGGGCGAAAGCCUGACGGAGCAACGCCGCGUGAGUGAUGAAGGUCUUCGGAUCGUAAAACUCUGUUAUUAGGGAAGAACAUAUGUGUAAGUAACUGUGCACAUCUUGACGGUACCUAAUCAGAAAGCCACGGCUAACUACGUGCCAGCAGCCGCGGUAAUACGUAGGUGGCAAGCGUUAUCCGGAAUUAUUGGGCGUAAAGCGCGCGUAGGCGGUUUUUUAAGUCUGAUGUGAAAGCCCACGGCUCAACCGUGGAGGGUCAUUGGAAACUGGAAAACUUGAGUGCAGAAGAGGAAAGUGGAAUUCCAUGUGUAGCGGUGAAAUGCGCAGAGAUAUGGAGGAACACCAGUGGCGAAGGCGACUUUCUGGUCUGUAACUGACGCUGAUGUGCGAAAGCGUGGGGAUCAAACAGGAUUAGAUACCCUGGUAGUCCACGCCGUAAACGAUGAGUGCUAAGUGUUAAGGGGGUUUCCGCCCCUUAGUGCUGCAGCUAACGCAUUAAGCACUCCGCCUGGGGAGUACGACCGCAAGGUUGAAACUCAAAGGAAUUGA